AGUGAACGCUGGCGGUAGGCCUAACACAUGCAAGUCGAACGGCAGCACAGUAAGAGCUUGCUCUUACGGGUGGCGAGUGGCGGACGGGUGAGGAAUACAUCGGAAUCUACUUUUUCGUGGGGGAUAACGUAGGGAAACUUACUCUAAUACCGCAUACGACCUACGGGUGAAAGCAGGGGAUCUUCGGCCCUUGCGCGAUUGAAUGAGCCGAUGUCGGAUUAGCUAGUUGGCGGGGUAAAGGCCCACCAAGGCGACGAUCCGUAGCUGGUCUGAGAGGAUGAUCAGCCACACUGGAACUGAGACACGGUCCAGACUCCUACGGGAGGCAGCAGUGGGGAAUAUUGGACAAUGGGCGCAAGCCUGAUCCAGCCAUACCGCGUGGGUGAAGAAGGCCUUCGGGUUGUAAAGCCCUUUUGUUGGGAAAGAAAAGCAGCAGGUUAAUACCCCGCUGUCCUGACGGUACCCAAAGAAUAAGCACCGGCUAACUUCGUG
This 492-nucleotide ribosomal RNA is filed under the name uncultured bacterium. Its description in RNAcentral is "partial 16S ribosomal RNA". It matches the Rfam family "Bacterial small subunit ribosomal RNA", at positions 29 to 507 of the family's 1533-position model. The record is from RNAcentral.